Molecule: ribosomal RNA, 461 nt
Filed under: uncultured bacterium
Lineage: Bacteria
Description: SSU rRNA
Rfam family: Bacterial small subunit ribosomal RNA
Source: RNAcentral
AGAACGAACGUUGGCGGCGUGGAUUAGGCAUGCAAGUCGAGGGAAUCCCAGCAAUGGGGGAACCGGCGUAAGGGGCAGUAAGGCAUGGGUACCUACCCCGGGGUCUGGGAUAGCCGUCCGAGAGGGCGGGUAAUACCGGAUGACGUGGUGACACCAAAGGUCCGCCGCCCUGGGCGGGGCCCAUGUGGUAUUAGCUAGUUGGUGGGGUAACGGCCCACCAAGGCGGAGAUGCCUAGCGGGUGUGAGAGCACGACCCGCGCCACUGGCACUGAGACACUGGCCAGACACCUACGGGUGGCUGCAGUCGAGGAUCUUCGGCAAUGGGGGCAACCCUGACCGAGCGACGCCGCGUGUGCGAUGAAGGCCUUCGGGUUGUAAAGCACUGUCGAGGGGGAGAAAAGCUCGUAAGGGCGUGAUCUAUCCCUGGAGGAAGCUCGGGCUAAGUUCGUGCCAGCAGCCAC